GAUGAAGAACGCAGUGAAAUGCGAUAAGUAAUGUGAAUUGCAGAAUUCAGUGAAUCAUCGAAUCUUUGAACGCACAUUGCGCCCCCUGGCAUUCCGGGGGGCAUGCCUGUUCGAGCGUCAUUACAACCCUCAAGCUCUGCUUGGUAUUGGGCUCUGCCGGUCCCGGCAGGCCUUAAAAUCAGUGGCGGCGCCACUCGGCUUCAAGCGUAGUAAUUCUUCUCGCUUCGGAGACCCGGGUGCGUGCUAGCCAGCAACCCCCAACUUUCUCAGGUUGACCUCGGAUCAGGUAGGGAUACCCGCUGAACUUAAGCAUAUCAAUAAGCGGAGGA
This 329-nucleotide unclassified non-coding RNA is filed under the name soil metagenome. RNAcentral describes it as "partial contains 5.8S ribosomal RNA, internal transcribed spacer 2, and large subunit ribosomal RNA". The stretch from base 1 to 120 matches the Rfam family "5.8S ribosomal RNA", at positions 35 to 154 of the family's 154-position model. The record is from RNAcentral.